GUGCCAGCCGCCGCGGUAAUACCGGCAGCCCAAGUGAUGGCCGAUAUUAUUGGGCCUAAAGCGUCCGUAGCUGGCCGCGCAAGUUCGUCGGGAAAUCCACUCGCUUAACGAGUGGGCGUCCGGCGAAAACUGUGCGGCUUGGGACCGGAAGAUCCAAGGGGUACGUCCGGGGUAGGAGUGAAAUCCCAUAAUCCCGCACGGACCACCGAUGGCGAAAGCACUUCGAGAAAACGGAUCCGACAGUGAGGGACGAAAGCCAGGGUCUCCAACCGGAUUAGAUACCCGAGUAGUCC
Molecule: ribosomal RNA, 293 nt
Filed under: uncultured bacterium
Lineage: Bacteria
Description: partial 16S ribosomal RNA
Rfam family: Archaeal small subunit ribosomal RNA
Source: RNAcentral